Non-coding RNA from Oryza nivara, 203 nucleotides. NCBI's taxonomy places the organism in Eukaryota, Viridiplantae, Streptophyta, Magnoliopsida, Poales, Poaceae. The record is from Rfam.
UUUAAGUGCAAUCAUAAGUUUCAACGCCCAACUUUGAUCAUCCGUCUUAUUUGAAAAUUUUUUACAAUUAGUACAUUUGUUGUUAUGAGAUGAUAAAAUAUAAAUAGUACUUUACUCGUGACGUAUGUUUUUAAAUUUUUUUAAAAAAAUUGAAAUAAGACGAACGGUCAAAUUGGAUGCGGAAAACCAUAACUACACUUAAA